RNAcentral lists this non-coding RNA (22 nucleotides) under Arabidopsis thaliana (thale cress). The record is from RNAcentral. Lineage: Eukaryota; Viridiplantae; Streptophyta; Magnoliopsida; Brassicales; Brassicaceae.
UUGAAAGUGACUACAUCGGGGU